Molecule: ribosomal RNA, 497 nt
Filed under: uncultured bacterium
Lineage: Bacteria
Description: partial 16S ribosomal RNA
Rfam family: Bacterial small subunit ribosomal RNA
Source: RNAcentral
GACGAACGCUGGCGGCGUGCCUAAUACAUGCAAGUUGAGCGAUGAAGAUUGGUGCUUGCACCAAUUUGAAGAGCAGCGAACGGGUGAGUAACGCGUGGGGAAUCUGCCUUUGAGCGGGGGACAACAUUUGGAAACGAAUGCUAAUACCGCAUAACAACUUUAAACAUAAGUUUUAAGUUUGAAAGAUGCAAUUGCAUCACUCAAAGAUGAUCCCGCGUUGUAUUAGCUAGUUGGUGAGGUAAAGGCUCACCAAGGCGAUGAUACAUAGCCGACCUGAGAGGGUGAUCGGCCACAUUGGGACUGAGACACGGCCCAAACUCCUACGGGAGGCAGCAGUAGGGAAUCGUCGGCAAUGGACGAAAGUCUGACCGAGCAACGCCGCGUGAGUGAAGAAGGUUUUCGGAUCGUAAAACUCUGUUGGUAGAGAAGAACGUUGGUGAGAGUGGAAAGCUCAUCAAGUGACGGUAACUACCCAGAAAGGGACGGCUAACUACGUG